CCGCCGGGCCGCCCGCAACUUGGGGGAGAGCCAGCCCAGCGCCGAGCCGUGCCCGGGAGCGCCCCGCCAGAUAUAUAUGUUAUAUCCGCUAAUGUAACGCAGCUGGAGCAGCCGCUCCCCGCCGGUACCGGGGGAGGGGGGAACGGGCAGCACCCCCCCUUUAUUCCCUCCUCCCCCGGUGAAGAAGCAGAAACUCGAGCGAUUCCGCGGCGCCGAAGUUGCUCGCGGGUGCGGGUCGGUAACCAGACACGCGUGUCGCCCGAGGGCUGGCGGGGAGGAACUGAGCCAGACGGGGACACAAAGGAGGGGGGCAGCCCCAGACACGCCGUCCCCGCCCCGCGGCGGCAGCGCCCGGCACCGCCGAGCCCCGGGCGGGGACGGCGAGAGGGAGACGAGCCCCCGGACCCCCUUUUGUCUGGCCCCGGUGGCACCUGCGGGGGCGAGCGCUCGGCCGCCCCGCCCGCGGACACUAUCGCGACCGGCGACAGCUUAGCGACAGUUGUGGUGGUGGGAGAGGGCUGAGACAGCCCCGGUGUCGGGGGUCUCGUUCUGAGGCCGCGCGGGGCUUGAUUCCAUCAGCCUCACGUUAAUUACCAAAACCACUGAAAAUACAAAAAAACUGCAAUAAAAUGAGCCCCCACGUGCAGUAUUCCUCCAAUUCUUGCUCUGUCAUACCCGAUAUUUUUCUUAUCGUAACUUGUUCUAAAAGAAAUUUAACACAUUUGCUCUCAGACUGUCGGUAGUGAUUAACUGUGACGCUUGCAAUGGACUCUGUAUACAACAUCUAGAAGAAAUCUAACGUCUUUGCCCCUCCAGACCAUCUGCAGUGAUUUACUGUGACGCUCACAAUAGGCUCUGUAUAAGAUAUCUAAAAGAAAUUUGACUUAUUUUCCCCCCAGACCCUCUGCAGUGAUUAGCUGUGACACUUGGGCUCUGUGCACGAUAAAAGGUGGUCAAUGUACACUUAAAAA
Long non-coding RNA from Lepidothrix coronata (blue-crowned manakin), 971 nucleotides. RefSeq lists it as uncharacterized. The transcript is spliced from 2 exons. NCBI's taxonomy places the organism in Eukaryota, Metazoa, Chordata, Aves, Passeriformes, Pipridae. The record is from RefSeq and is a predicted model, not a curated record.